Molecule: ribosomal RNA, 777 nt
Filed under: uncultured Neocallimastigales
Lineage: Eukaryota; Fungi; Neocallimastigomycota; Neocallimastigomycetes; Neocallimastigales
Description: partial large subunit ribosomal RNA
Rfam family: Eukaryotic large subunit ribosomal RNA
Source: RNAcentral
UCAGACGAUGCGUCAUGCAUAUCAAUAAGUGGAGGAAAAGAAACUAACUAAGGAUUCCCUCAGUAACGGCGAGUGAAGCGGGAAGAGCUCAAAUUUGAAAUCUUCAAGGUUUUACCUUGACGAAUUGUAGUUUAAAGAAGUGUUUUCUGUUGAAGUUUUGGUAAAAGUUCUUUGGAAUAGGACAUCAUAGAGGGUGAGGAAUCCCGUAUUUGACCAUUAUUUUCAGCUGUGUGAUACACUUUCAAAGAGUCGGAUUGUUUGGGAAUGCAGUCCAAAAUGGGUGGUAAAUUUCAUCUAAAGCUAAAUAUUGGCGAGAGACCGAUAGCGAACAAGUACCGUGAGGGAAAGAUGAAAAGAACUUUGAAAAGAGAGUUAAACAGUACGUGAAAUUGUCAAAAGGGAAGCGUUUGACACCAGGUGUUGUUUUUCCGAAAAUCAAUUAAAAAUGGAUUCAUGCCAAGUUGUAUUGACCUUAUCAGCUUGCAAUUUGGUUUUGGGUUCUUUUUUGAUGCACUUUUCGGUUAACAAGUCAACAUCAAUUUCCUUUGCUGUAAAAGGGCAGAAGGAAGGUGGCUUCAAUUUCGGUUGAAGUGUUUAUAGCCUUUUGUCUCUGCAGUCGGGGAGAUUGAGGUCUGCAGCGUAGAUCCUUCGGGGUUAGAUACAUUCGUGCUAAGUUAUAGCCUUUUAUAGACAACUUGUUGACUAUGAUCGGUCUUGUAAUUUACUCGCGAGUGCUACUUUACCUACGCUUAGGAUGUUGAUAUGCAUGACUGAUAU